Molecule: long non-coding RNA, 280 nt
Filed under: Gossypium raimondii (Peruvian cotton)
Lineage: Eukaryota; Viridiplantae; Streptophyta; Magnoliopsida; Malvales; Malvaceae
Description: long non-coding RNA (GRAI_LNC010803)
Source: RNAcentral
GGUGUUUGUUAAAAUAUGUAUACCAUUUUACCUUAGAAAUUAGAGAGGGAAAGUGAUAGUGUAUCAAUGGCUAAGUUAAAGGACUACGUGAUGGGAGAGGAGGAAGCCAAUAAAAUGGAAGCCUCUGAACCCAAGGAGGACAUGCAGCAGCAACAACCAUAGCAGAAGUUGCAGCAGCAGAAACACCACCAUCAGUUACAGAGAAAAGUCCAAACAGCAGAAACCCAGAUCAUUAGAAUCAUAACAAAUAAAGCUUGAAGAAGGAGAUGAAUGACUUACC